Molecule: ribosomal RNA, 94 nt
Filed under: Agrobacterium tumefaciens
Lineage: Bacteria; Pseudomonadati; Pseudomonadota; Alphaproteobacteria; Hyphomicrobiales; Rhizobiaceae
Description: partial 16S ribosomal RNA
Rfam family: Bacterial small subunit ribosomal RNA
Source: RNAcentral
UCAACUUGAGAGUUUGAUCCUGGCUCAGAACGAACGCUGGCGGCAGGCUUAACACAUGCAAGUCGAACGCCCCGCAAGGGGAGUGGCAGACGGG